Molecule: long non-coding RNA, 208 nt
Filed under: Ricinus communis (castor bean)
Lineage: Eukaryota; Viridiplantae; Streptophyta; Magnoliopsida; Malpighiales; Euphorbiaceae
Description: long non-coding RNA (RCOM_LNC000253)
Source: RNAcentral
GUAUACACUUCUACAACUCUUGCGUCUCUUUGUGCCACUUUCGUGAAUUUACUUCCGCUAGCGUAUUUGCUAUCAUUCUGCCGGGUUUGGCAAUCAAGGGUAGGCUGACUAGCUAUCUUGACUUUCGGGGAAAUCAAGCAAGCUAGGCCGCACGUGGGCAAAGUUUUGGAGAUAAAACAAAACUCACGUGACAGUUGGUAUCAGAGCC